AGAGUUUGAUCCUGGCUCAGAUUGAACGCUGGCGGCAUGCCUUACACAUGCAAGUCGAACGGCAGCACGGGUGCUUGCACCUGGUGGCGAGUGGCGAACGGGUGAGUAAUAUAUCGGAACGUACCUUAUCGUGGGGGAUAACGCAGCGAAAGCUGCGCUAAUACCGCAUACGCCCUGAGGGGGAAAGCGGGGGACCGUAAGGCCUCGCGCGAUUAGAGCGGCCGAUAUCUGAUUAGCUUGUUGGUGGGGUAAAAGCCCACCAAGGCGACGAUCAGUAGCUGGUCUGAGAGGACGAUCAGCCACACUGGGACUGAGACACGGCCCAGACUCCUACGGGAGGCAGCAGUGGGGAAUUUUGGACAAUGGGGGCAACCCUGAUCCAGCAAUGCCGCGUGAGUGAAGAAGGCCUUCGGGUUGUAAAGCUCUUUUGUCAGGGAAGAAACAGCAGCUCUAACACAGUCUGCGAAUGACGGUACCUGAAGAAUAAGCACCGGCUAACUACGUGCCAGCAGCCGCGGUAAUACGUAGGGUGCAAGCGUUAAUCGGAAUUACU
Molecule: ribosomal RNA, 553 nt
Filed under: uncultured freshwater bacterium
Lineage: Bacteria
Description: bacterial SSU rRNA
Rfam family: Bacterial small subunit ribosomal RNA
Source: RNAcentral